This 409-nucleotide ribosomal RNA is filed under the name Opisthopatus cinctipes. Its description in RNAcentral is "bacterial SSU rRNA". It matches the Rfam family "Eukaryotic small subunit ribosomal RNA", at positions 1000 to 1409 of the family's 1831-position model. Lineage: Eukaryota; Metazoa; Onychophora; Udeonychophora; Euonychophora; Peripatopsidae. The record is from RNAcentral.
GAAGGCGAUCAGAUACCUCCCUAGUUCUGACCGUAAACAAUGCCACCUGACGAUCCGCCGGGGUUACUAUCAUGACUCCCCGGGCAGUUCCCGGGAAACCCAAGCUUUCGGGUUCCAGGGAAAGUAUGGUUGCAAAGCUGAAACUUAAAGGAAUUGACGGAAGGGCACCACCAGGAGUGGAGCCUGUGGCUUAAUUUGACUCAACACGGGGAACCUCACCCGGCCCCAACACCGCGAGGAUUGACCGAUUAGGAACUCUUUCUCGAUUCCGUGGGUGGUGGUGCAUGGCCGUUUUUAGUUGGGGGAACGAUUUGGCUGGUUAAUUCCGAUAACCAACGAAACUCUAGGGGUAAAUAGCCCGAGCCGUUUUUGAUCUUGCCGUCCAUCCUCGUCCCAACCUUCCGCGCUU